AGCUCAGUGAUAGAGCACAUGCUUAACAUGCAUGAGGUCCUGGGUUCAAUCCCCAG
This 56-nucleotide transfer RNA is filed under the name Camelus bactrianus (Bactrian camel). It matches the Rfam family "tRNA", at positions 9 to 63 of the family's 71-position model. Rfam says of the family: Transfer RNA (tRNA) molecules are approximately 80 nucleotides in length. Lineage: Eukaryota; Metazoa; Chordata; Mammalia; Artiodactyla; Camelidae. The record is from Rfam by way of RNAcentral. RNAcentral also lists the same sequence under 2 other names.